RNAcentral lists this ribosomal RNA (497 nucleotides) under uncultured bacterium. RNAcentral describes it as "partial 16S ribosomal RNA". It matches the Rfam family "Bacterial small subunit ribosomal RNA", at positions 28 to 507 of the family's 1533-position model. The record is from RNAcentral.
GAUGAACGCUGGCGGCGUGCCUAAUACAUGCAAGUCGAGCGAACAGACGAGGAGCUUGCUCCUCUGACGUUAGCGGCGGACGGGUGAGUAACACGUGUAUAACCUACCUAUAAGACUGGUAUAACUUCGGGAAACCGGAUCUAAUACCGGAUAAUAUAUUGAACCGCAUGGUUCAAUAGUGAGAGACGGUUUUGGUGUCACUUAUAGAUGGAUCCGCGCCGCAUUAGGUAGUUGUUAAGGUAACGGCUUACCAAGGCAACGAUGCGUAGCCGACCUGAGAGGGUGAUAGGCCACACUGGAACUGAGCCACGGUCCAGAGUCCUACGGGAGGCAGCAGUAGGGAAUCUUCCGCAGUGGGCGAGAGCCUGACGGAGCGACGCCGCGUGAGUGAUGAAGGUCUUCGGAUCGUAAAGCCCUGUUAUUAGGGAAGAACAAAUGUGUAAGUAAAUAUGCACGUCUUGACGGUAACUAAUAAAAAAGCCACGGCUAACUACGUG